Long non-coding RNA from Parus major (Great Tit), 418 nucleotides. RefSeq lists it as uncharacterized. The transcript is spliced from 2 exons. NCBI's taxonomy places the organism in Eukaryota, Metazoa, Chordata, Aves, Passeriformes, Paridae. The record is from RefSeq and is a predicted model, not a curated record.
GGCAUGGCGGGAGUUGUAGUUUAGCGAUGUAUGACGGGAAUUGUAGUCCGAGAGGGCCGACGGGAGACGGAAGGCCGCUACGGGAAUCCCACCGGGAUAUUUCAGGGGAGAGGUGUGAAGCAAUUAUGUUGUUUUUCCCACAUCUGCUGACCGACCUCUCCAAGUGAUAACAGUGACACAAACCAGAGUUGGAGAAGAACUUGUUAACUCCUCGUUUUCAGGGAAGUGCAAACCAACAGGAUGAAGGAAUAAAAUAUACUGACCUGAUCUACAGGAUGUCAUACAGAUAAGUCAGCAUGUAAGGCCAAACAAAAGAGCUUCUGCAACAUCCAAAACUCCUAAGAAUGUUUGAAUAAUGUAUGAAACACAUAAAUAUGUAUAGACCUGAGUAAUGUAACAAUAUAUAGAUAACACUUGA